CUUGAACUUUAUAAGAGGUCCAGCCUGCCCAGUGACUCUGUUCAACGGCCGCGGUAUCCUAACCGUGCGAAGGUAGCGUAAUCACUUGUUCUUUAAAUGUGGACUAGUAUGAAUGGCACUACGAGGGUUAUACUGUCUCCUUUUUCUAAUCAGUGAAACUAAUUUUCCCGUGAAGAAGCGGGAAUACAACUAUAAGACGAGAAGACCCUAUGGAGCUUUAAACGACCUAGCAAUUACUUCUAAAAUUAUAAAUUUCAGAAUACUCAUUCUUUAAGCAAUAUGUCUGCAAGUUUUUGGUUGGGGUGACCAUGGAGAAUAACACAACCUCCAUAUUGAAUGAAUUUUUAUUCUAAGCUAAGAAUUACUAAUCAAAGCAUCAACACACUGACAUUUAUUGACCCA
This 402-nucleotide ribosomal RNA is filed under the name Rhinella castaneotica (Para toad). Its description in RNAcentral is "partial 16S ribosomal RNA". It matches the Rfam family "Bacterial large subunit ribosomal RNA", at positions 1835 to 2422 of the family's 2925-position model. Lineage: Eukaryota; Metazoa; Chordata; Amphibia; Anura; Bufonidae. The record is from RNAcentral.